This 1033-nucleotide long non-coding RNA is filed under the name Bos grunniens (domestic yak). RNAcentral describes it as "lncRNA (ENSBGRG00000000908.1)". Lineage: Eukaryota; Metazoa; Chordata; Mammalia; Artiodactyla; Bovidae. The record is from RNAcentral.
CACAGGCACUUUCUUUUCAGGGACAACUUCUUUUGGCACCUCAGGCACUUAAAAGAUAUUAGUAAAAUUACAUUUAGUAUUAUGAGAACAAUGGAGCAAAUAUUUUCAAGAACAGAAGAGUUAUGUGCUUUAAAGCCUAAGUUUCAUGACAAAUACCUUUAGCAGGUGGGACUUCUGGCUUUUUAGGAGGCAUCACAGGUACUUUCUUUUCAGGGACAACUUCUUUUGGAGCCUCAGGUACUUAAAAGAUUUUAGUAAAAUUACGUUUAGAAGUUGUGGGAGCACUAGAGCAAAAUGCUUUUGAGAGCAGAAGAGUUUUAUCUCCUUAAAUCUAAGGUGAGUGACAGCUACCUGUAACAGGUGGGACUUCUGGUUUUAGGAGGAGCCACAGGCACUUUCUUUUCAGGCACAACUUCUUUAGGAACUUCAGGAACUUUGAAGAUAUUAGUAGUUUUAUGGUUAGGUUAAUGAAGAGCAAAGGACUUGAAUCAUUCUCAAGAACUCAAGAGACAUUUCUUCUGAAGAAUGAAGUCAGAGCUAAAUUGUACCUGUGACAGGUGGAACUUCCGGUUUUUUGGGUGGCACCUUGGGAACUUUCUUUUCUGGAACAACUUCUUGGGGAACUUCAGGCACUUGAAAGAUAUUAGUAGUUUUAUGGUUAGGUUAAUGAAGAGCAACGGACUAAAAUCAUCCUCAAAACUUGAAGAGACAUUUCUUCUGAAGAAUGAGGUCAGAGCUAACAUGUACCUGUGACAGGUGGGACUUCUGGCUUUUUCGGUGGUGCCUUGGGAACUUUCUUUUCUGGGACAACUUCUUGGGGAACUUCAGGCACUUGAAAGAUAUUAGUAGUUUUAUGGUUAGGUUAAUGAAUAGCAAUGGACUAAAAUCAUCUUCACAAACUGAAGAGACAUUUCUUCUACAGAAUGCUGUGGGUCAACAUGUACCUGUGACAGGUGGGGCUUCCGGUGUUUUGGGUGGUGCCUUGGGGACUUUCUUUUCUGGAACAACUUCUUGGGGAACUUCAGGCACUUGA